GAUGAACGCUAGCUACAGGCUUAACACAUGCAAGUCGAGGGGCAGCAUGGUCUUAGCUUGCUAAGGCCGAUGGCGACCGGCGCACGGGUGAGUAACGCGUAUCCAACCUGCCUUACACUCUUGGACAGCCUUCUGAAAGGGAGAUUAAUACAAGAUGUUAUCAUGAGUAAGCAUUUUCGCAUGAUUAAAGGUUUACCGGUGUAAGAUGGGGAUGCGUUCCAUUAGAUAGUAGGCGGGGUAACGGCCCACCUAGUCUUCGAUGGAUAGGGGUUCUGAGAGGAAGGUCCCCCACAUUGGAACUGAGACACGGUCCAAACUCCUACGGGAGGCAGCAGUGAGGAAUAUUGGUCAAUGGACGAGAGUCUGAACCAGCCAAGUAGCGUGAAGGAUGAAGGUUCUAUGGAUUGUAAACUUCUUUUAUACGGGAAUAAACGGAUCCACGUGUGGA
Molecule: ribosomal RNA, 448 nt
Filed under: uncultured bacterium
Lineage: Bacteria
Description: bacterial SSU rRNA
Rfam family: Bacterial small subunit ribosomal RNA
Source: RNAcentral